UACGGAGGGUGCAAGCGUUAUCCGGAUUCACUGGGUUUAAAGGGUGCGUAGGUGGGUUGGUAAGUCAGUGGUGAAAUCUCCGAGCUUAACUCGGAAACUGCCAUGGAUACUAUGUGUCUUGAAUGUUGUGGAGGUGAGCGGAAUAUGUCAUGUAGCGGUGAAAUGCUUAGAUAUGACAUAGAACACCAAUUGCGAAGGCAGCUCACUACACAAAUAUUGACGCUGAGGCACGAAAGCGUGGGGAUCAAACAGG
This 253-nucleotide ribosomal RNA is filed under the name uncultured bacterium. RNAcentral's name for it is "partial 16S ribosomal RNA". It matches the Rfam family "Bacterial small subunit ribosomal RNA", at positions 524 to 776 of the family's 1533-position model. The record is from RNAcentral.